RNAcentral lists this ribosomal RNA (102 nucleotides) under uncultured bacterium. Its description in RNAcentral is "partial 16S ribosomal RNA". It matches the Rfam family "Bacterial small subunit ribosomal RNA", at positions 1367 to 1482 of the family's 1533-position model. The record is from RNAcentral.
UACGUUCCAGGCCUUGUACACACCGCCCGUCACAUCAUGAAAGCCGCUUGUACCCGAAGUCGCCCUUAAAAGGUGCCGAAGGUAUGGGUGGUGAUUGGGAUG